RNAcentral lists this ribosomal RNA (1578 nucleotides) under uncultured bacterium. Its description in RNAcentral is "bacterial SSU rRNA". It matches the Rfam family "Bacterial small subunit ribosomal RNA". The record is from RNAcentral.
AGGGACGGGUCAGUUGAUCUGAACUCAGGAUCACUCGUGUUACACUGCAAUCGCGUGUCGCCCUUAGAGUUUGAUCCUGGCUCAGGAUGAACGCUAGCGGGAGGCCUAACACAUGCAAGCCGAGCGGUAUUUCUUCUUCGGAAGAGAGAGAGCGGCGUACGGGUGCGUAACACGUGUGCAACCUACCUUUAUCUGGGGGAUAGCCUUUCGAAAGGAAGAUUAAUACCCCAUAAUAUAAUGAUUGGCAUCAAUUAUUAUUGAAAACUCCGGUGGAUAGAGAUGGGCACGCGCAAGAUUAGAUAGUUGGUGAGGUAACGGCUCACCAAGUCUGUGAUCUUUAGGGGUCCUGAGAGGGAGAUCCCCCACACUGGUACUGAGACACGGACCAGACUCCUACGGGAGGCAGCAGUGAGGAAUAUUGGACAAUGGGUGAGAGCCUGAUCCAGCCAUCCCGCGUGAAGGAUGACGGUCCUAUGGAUUGUAAACUUCUUUUGUACAGGGAUAAACCUACUCUCGUGAGGGUAGCUGAAGGUACUGUACGAAUAAGCACCGGCUAACUCCGUGCCAGCAGCCGCGGUAAUACGGAGGGUGCAAGCGUUAUCCGGAUUUAUUGGGUUUAAAGGGUCCGUAGGCGGACCCGUAAGUCAGUGGUGAAAUCUCAUAGCUCAACUAUGAAACUGCCAUUGAUACUGCGGGUCUUGAGUAAAUUUGAAGUGGCUGGAAUAAGUAGUGUAGCGGUGAAAUGCAUAGAUAUUACUUAGAACACCAAUUGCGAAGGCAGGUCACUAAGAUUUAACUGACGCUGAUGGACGAAAGCGUGGGUAGCGAACAGGAUUAGAUACCCUGGUAGUCCACGCCGUAAACGAUGCUAACUCGUUUUUGGAUUUUCGGAUUCAGAGACCAAGCGAAAGUGAUAAGUUAGCCACCUGGGGAGUACGUCCGCAAGGAUGAAACUCAAAGGAAUUGACGGGGGCCCGCACAAGCGGUGGAUUAUGUGGUUUAAUUCGAUGAUACGCGAGGAACCUUACCAAGACUUAAAUGGGAAAUGACAGGUUUAGAAAUAGACCCUUCUUCGGACAUUUUUCAAGGUGCUGCAUGGUUGUCGUCAGCUCGUGCCGUGAGGUGUUAGGUUAAGUCCUGCAACGAGCGCAACCCCUGUCACUAGUUGCUAACAUUCAGUUGAGGACUCUAGUGAGACUGCCUACGCAAGUAGAGAGGAAGGUGGGGAUGACGUCAAAUCAUCACGGCCCUUACGUCUUGGGCCACACACGUAAUACAAUGGCCGGUACAGAGGGCAGCUACACAGCGAUGUGAUGCAAAUCUCGAAAGCCGGUCUCAGUUCGGAUUGGAGUCUGCAACUCGACUCUAUGAAGCUGGAAUCGCUAGUAAUCGCGCAUCAGCCAUGGCGCGGUGAAUACGUUCCCGGGCCUUGUACACACCGCCCGUCAAGCCAUGGAAGUUUGGGGUACCUGAAGUCGGUGACCGUAAAAGGAGCUGCCUAGGGUAAAACAAGUAACUAGGGCUAAGUCGUAACAAGGUAACCAAGGGCGACACGCGAUUGCAGUCUUGAGUCCACCG